GUUACUGUAGCUUAAACUCAAAGCACGGCACUGAAGCUGCCACGAUGGCCUUCAACCCCCCCCAGCAACA
RNAcentral lists this transfer RNA (70 nucleotides) under Blanus cinereus (Mediterranean worm lizard). RNAcentral's name for it is "tRNA-Phe". The record is from RNAcentral. Lineage: Eukaryota; Metazoa; Chordata; Lepidosauria; Squamata; Blanidae.